Molecule: ribosomal RNA, 429 nt
Filed under: Actinomycetes bacterium
Lineage: Bacteria; Bacillati; Actinomycetota; Actinomycetes
Description: Actinobacteria bacterium partial 16S ribosomal RNA
Rfam family: Bacterial small subunit ribosomal RNA
Source: RNAcentral
UAGGGAAUCUUCCGCAAUGGGCGAAAGCCUGACGGAGCAACGCCGCGUGAGUGAUGAAGGUCUUCGGAUCGUAAAACUCUGUUAUUAGGGAAGAACAAAUGUGUAAGUAACUAUGCACGUCUUGACGGUACCUAAUCAGAAAGCCACGGCUAACUACGUGCCAGCAGCCGCGGUAAUACGUAGGUGGCAAGCGUUAUCCGGAAUUUUUGGGCGUAAAGCGCGCGUAGGCGGUUUUUUAAGUCUGAUGUGAAAGCCCACGGCUCAACCGUGGAGGGUCAUUGGAAACUGGAAAACUUGAGUGCAGAAGAGGAAAGUGGAAUGCAAUGUGUGGCGGUAAAAUGCGCGGAGAUAUGGAGGAUACCCAGUGGCAAAGGCGACUUUCUGGUCUGUAACUGACGCUGAUGUGCGAAAGCGUGGGGAUCAAACAGG